Molecule: small nucleolar RNA, 132 nt
Organism: Osmerus eperlanus (European smelt)
Lineage: Eukaryota; Metazoa; Chordata; Actinopteri; Osmeriformes; Osmeridae
Source: RefSeq, a predicted model, not a curated record
AUCCAAAGUGUUGAGUUCAGCUCUGGGCUCUCUCCCCAGUUCUGGUAAUUAGCCUUUGGUAUAGAAACUGGCCUGCAGUGGUUCAACAUGGGUGGCCACGUCAGCCACUUAAGGCCACUCAGUCCAACAGUC